GAAAGCUGAUUCACCUGACAUGCUAAGGAGAC
This 32-nucleotide non-coding RNA is filed under the name Mus musculus (house mouse). Lineage: Eukaryota; Metazoa; Chordata; Mammalia; Rodentia; Muridae. RNAcentral also lists the same sequence under 1 other name. The record is from RNAcentral.